Molecule: unclassified non-coding RNA, 349 nt
Filed under: soil metagenome
Description: partial contains 5.8S ribosomal RNA, internal transcribed spacer 2, and large subunit ribosomal RNA
Rfam family: 5.8S ribosomal RNA (bases 1-119)
Source: RNAcentral
GAUGAAGAACGUAGCGAAAUGCGAUAAGUAAUGCGAAUUGCAGAAUCCGUGAGUCAUCGAAUCUUUGAACGCACAUUUCGCCCUCUGGUAUUCCGGAGGGCAUGCCUGUUCGAGCGUCAUUAUCACCCCUCAAGCCCGGCUUGUUGUUGGAUGCAGCGCUUAUCCCGCUCCUCCCAAAGAUAAUGACGGCGUCUGCGACGACUCCUGUACACUGAGCUUUCGGGCACGUACACGGCUAGAAGUCCAGACCCGGUCGCCGUCCCCCCCGCGGGGACACCCAUUACCACAAGGUUGACCUCGGAUCAGGUAGGAAUACCCGCUGAACUUAAGCAUAUCAAUAAGCGGAGGA